RNAcentral lists this ribosomal RNA (916 nucleotides) under uncultured Candidatus Poseidoniales archaeon. Its description in RNAcentral is "bacterial SSU rRNA". It matches the Rfam family "Archaeal small subunit ribosomal RNA", at positions 1 to 923 of the family's 1478-position model. Lineage: Archaea; Methanobacteriati; Thermoplasmatota; Candidatus Poseidoniia; Candidatus Poseidoniales. The record is from RNAcentral.
UUCUGGUUGAUCCUGCCAGAGGCGACCGCUAUUGGAGUUCGAUUAAGCCAUGCGAGUAGAAAGAAAUUAGAUUCUUUGCAUACUGCUCAGUAACACGUGGAUAACCUGCCCUACACUGGGGGAUAAUCUCGGGAAACUGAGGAUAAUACCCCAUAGACCACUACGCCUGGAACGGUGAGUGGUUGAAAGCUCAGGCGGUGUAGGAUGGGUCUGCGGCGUAUCAGGUCGUAGGGGGUGUAAUGGACCUCCUAGCCAUCGACGCGUACGGGUUGUGGGAGCAAUAGCCCGGAGACGGAUUCUGAGACACGAAUCCGGACCCUACGGGGUGCAGCAGGCGCGAAAACUUCACACUGCAGGAAACUGUGAUGAGGGAACUCCAAGUGACUGCACAUUGUGUAGCCUUUUCUUGAAUCUUAAUAGUUCUUGGAAUAAGGGCUGGGAAAGACCGGUGCCAGCCGCCGCGGUAAUACCGGCAGCUCGAGUGGUCGUCGCUUUUAUUGGGCCUAAAACGUCCGUAGCCUGUUUGGUAAAUCUGUGGGUAAAUCAACGAGCUCAACUCGUUGAAUUCUGCAGAGACUGCCAGACUAGGGACCGGGAGAGGUAUGAGGUACUCUGGGGGUAGGGGUAAAAUCCUGUCAUCCUCAGAGGACCACCUGUUGCGAAGGCGUCAUACUGGAACGGAUCCGACGGUCAGGGACGAAGCCUAGGGGCACGAACCGGAUUAGAUACCCGGGUAGUCCUAGGUGUAAACGCUGUGGAUUUGGUGUGUGGGGUCCGCAAUGGGCCCCAUGUGCCGGAGUGAAGAUGUUAAAUCCACUGCCUGGGGAGUACGGUCGCAAGGCUGAAACUUAAAGGAAUUGGCGGGGGAGCACUGCAACGGGAGGAGCGUGCGGUUUAAUUGGACUCAACGCCGGGA